This 372-nucleotide transfer-messenger RNA is filed under the name Mesorhizobium sp. It matches the Rfam family "Alphaproteobacteria transfer-messenger RNA". Rfam says of the family: Bacterial tmRNA, also known as 10Sa RNA or SsrA, is named for its dual tRNA and mRNA-like properties. Lineage: Bacteria; Pseudomonadati; Pseudomonadota; Alphaproteobacteria; Hyphomicrobiales; Phyllobacteriaceae. The record is from RNAcentral.
GCAAAGGUGUCCCGGUUCGAUCCCGAGCAUGCCGUGUGAUCUAGAAUGAGCGUAAGUCAGAAGCACUAAUAGGUUGGACAGGACCGGGGGGCAGUACCCCGCAGCUCCACCAAAACCACACCGUGAAGACCUUCCGUGAUUGGAGGGAGCGCAACUUCUCAGGGGAGUCUCGUCCAUAACGAGGCACGGUGUGGUCUUGAUGGGGCUGAAAUAGGAUCGACUGUCGAUUGAAAACUGCUUGUGCGCUUCGGCAUGAUACCGCCGUCAUCGGGUCAAAACUCUAAGUGCAAACGACAACGCACCCUUCGCCGAAAUGCGCCUCGCAGCGUAGUUCGACAUGAGCUGACGACUUGGAAACAGAACCGUCCGCCU